AUGGUUGUUGAACUUCUCUCUUCUCAUUUGGAUCCUCCGCGACAGAGUUCUCCAUUGCGGAUCUCAUCUCAAGUUGAGCACCAAUUUGCUUUCAUUCGCGAUUCGUAUUUCAUUUUCAAACAAGACAAAGAAUCACAAAGGCGAGUAAAAGAAUUAUACCUAUUGAAGAAUCCCGGUGGUUCUUCAACAAUGAUGCCGAUGUCGAGAAACAAAACUCCGCGAGAGGGAAAUCAGGUAUGCAGAGCUGAUUUUGUUUGGUAUAGCUGGGUGAAGAUUUCGAACCACAAUUUGAUGUCGCGGUAG
Molecule: long non-coding RNA, 303 nt
Filed under: Vicia faba (fava bean)
Lineage: Eukaryota; Viridiplantae; Streptophyta; Magnoliopsida; Fabales; Fabaceae
Source: RNAcentral